GACGAACGCUGGCGGCGUGCCUAAUACAUGCAAGUCGAGCGCAGGAAAUCAUCCGAACCUUUCGGGGGGACGUUGAUGGAAUGAGCGGCGGACGGGUGAGUAACACGUAAAGAACCUGCCCUCAGGUCUGGGAUAACCACGAGAAAUCGGGGCUAAUACCGGAUGGGUCAUCGGACCGCAUGGCCCGAGGAUGAAAGGCGCUUCGGCGUCGCCUGGGGAUGGCUUUGCGGUGCAUUAGCUAGUUGGUGGGGUAAUGGCCCACCAAGGCGACGAUGCAUAGCCGACCUGAGAGGGUGAUCGGCCACACUGGGACUGAGGCACGGCCCAGACUCCUACGGGAGGCAGCAGUAGGGAAUCUUCCACAAUGGACGAAAGUCUGAUGGAGCAACGCCGCGUGAACGAUGAAGGCCUUCGGGUCGUAAAGUUCUGUUGUAAGGGAAGAACAAGUGCCGCAGGCAAUGGCGGCACCUUGACGGUACCUUGCGAGAAAGCCACGGCUAACUACGUGCCAGCAGCCGCAGUAA
RNAcentral lists this ribosomal RNA (524 nucleotides) under uncultured bacterium. RNAcentral's name for it is "partial 16S ribosomal RNA". It matches the Rfam family "Bacterial small subunit ribosomal RNA", at positions 28 to 523 of the family's 1533-position model. The record is from RNAcentral.